RNAcentral lists this ribosomal RNA (345 nucleotides) under uncultured Desulfobulbus sp. Its description in RNAcentral is "bacterial SSU rRNA". It matches the Rfam family "Bacterial small subunit ribosomal RNA", at positions 1035 to 1374 of the family's 1533-position model. The record is from RNAcentral. Lineage: Bacteria; Pseudomonadati; Thermodesulfobacteriota; Desulfobulbia; Desulfobulbales; Desulfobulbaceae.
CAGGUGGUGCAUGGUUGUCGUCAGCUCGUGUCGUGAGAUGUUGGGUUAAGUCCCGCAACGAGCGCAACCCUUGUGUUUAGUUGCAAACAGGUCAAGCUGUGCACUCUAGACAGACUGCCGUGGACAACACGGAGGAAGGUGGGGAUGACGUCAAGUCCUCAUGGCCUUUAUGACCAGGGCUACACACGUACUACAAUGGCCGAUACAAAGGGCAGCGACACUGCGAGGUGAAGCCAAUCCCGUAAAAUCGGUCUCAGUCCGGAUUGGAGUCUGCAACUCGACUCCAUGAAGUUGGAAUCGCUAGUAAUCGUGGAUCAGCAUGCCACGGUGAAUACGUUCCGGCUU